This 669-nucleotide long non-coding RNA is filed under the name Mus pahari (shrew mouse). RNAcentral's name for it is "lncRNA (MGP_PahariEiJ_G0006344.1)". Lineage: Eukaryota; Metazoa; Chordata; Mammalia; Rodentia; Muridae. The record is from RNAcentral.
AUGCAGGAUCACUGUGCAUGGGCCACAUUCUUCCAGGAGAGCAAAGAUUCAGGAGCUGGGCAAGUUCUUGGAGCUCCUGGGAUGAAGAGGGGGACAGGGAAGACGUGUGUGUGUGUGUGUGUGUGUGUGUGUGUGUGUGUGUGUGUGUAUGCAUGUGUGCAUACAUAUGUGUGCAUGCAUGUGUGUGCAUGUGUGUGUGUACAUGCGUGCAUGCAUAUGUGCAUGUGCCUUGUGUUGCGUAAGUGUGCUUUGGUGGCUAGAGCAAUCAAGUUCAAUGUUUUAAGUCUUCCCUUGUGUAAACAGUACAGGGGGGCCACCUCCCCUUGUCACAGUCUCUGUGAUUAUAAAACAUGAAUCUUUGAUAAGUUCAGCUUUCUGGGAAGGCAGGCGGAUUUGGAGCCAAAGGACUGUCUGUGUGCUGUUAUCUUGGUUCAUAUCAAGUCCAGAGCUGACUGAAGGCCUCAGCGUCUCUCAGUUCUAUGGGAAGGGCCAAGUGAGUCCUCGGGUCCCUGCUCAGUGCUGUUGUGGAGUUGUGUGGCGGUCCCUGCCACUUUGGUGGCUGUGGUGUUCUGAAAGACGAUUUUGGGUUAUCAUUGUUGCUUCAUGGUUUUUUUAAAAAAAUGUAUCUGCCCUAUGUUGAGAAAUAAAAAGCUCUAUUUUGGUCUAUGA